CCCGACCUCCAUGGGAGGUCCAGCCUGCCCAGUGAAAAUUAUUAAACGGCCGCGGUACCCUAACCGUGCGAAGGUAGCGCAAUCACUUGUUUCUUAAAUAGAGACUAGUAUGAACGGCAUCACGAGGGUUAUGCUGUCUCCCUCUUUUAAUCAGUGAAACUGAUUUCCCCGUGAAGAAGCGGGGAUAAACCUAUAAGACGAGAAGACCCCAUGGAGCUUAAAACUCAACAUACAACUACUCUCUUUACACCAUUUAAACCAGUAGCCCUGAAUGCUAGUUUUUGGUUGGGGCGACCACGGAGUAAAACCUAACCUCCAUGACGAAAGGAAACAACCCUAAUCUUAGAGCCACAGCUCAACUAAUCAACAAAUUGACGUUUAUUGACCCAAUUCUUUGAUCAACGAAC
This 407-nucleotide ribosomal RNA is filed under the name Otophryne sp. Neblina. RNAcentral describes it as "partial large subunit ribosomal RNA". It matches the Rfam family "Bacterial large subunit ribosomal RNA", at positions 1837 to 2457 of the family's 2925-position model. The record is from RNAcentral. Lineage: Eukaryota; Metazoa; Chordata; Amphibia; Anura; Microhylidae.